RNAcentral lists this ribosomal RNA (826 nucleotides) under uncultured Gammaproteobacteria bacterium. RNAcentral's name for it is "bacterial SSU rRNA". It matches the Rfam family "Bacterial small subunit ribosomal RNA", at positions 60 to 886 of the family's 1533-position model. Lineage: Bacteria; Pseudomonadati; Pseudomonadota; Gammaproteobacteria. The record is from RNAcentral.
AGUCGAGCGGUACAUUUCUAGCUUGCUAGAAAUGACGAGCGGCGGACGGGUGAGUAAUGCUUGGGAACAUACCUUUAGGUGGGGGACAACAGUUGGAAACGACUGCUAAUACCGCAUAAUGUCUACGGACCAAAGGGGGCUUCCGCUCUCGCCUUUAGAUUGGCCCAAGUGGGAUUAGCUAGUUGGUGAGGUAACGGCUCACCAAGGCGACGAUCCCUAACUGGUUUGAGAAGAUGAUCAGCCACACUGGAACUGAGACACGGUCCAGACUCCUACGGGAGGCAGCAGUGGGGAAUAUUGCACAAUGGGCGCAAGCCUGAUGCAGCCAUGCCGCGUGUGUGAAGAACGCCUUCGGGUUGUAAAGCACUUUCAGUAAGGAGGAAAGGUUGGUGGUUAAUACCCAUCAGCUGUGACGUUACUUACAGAAGAAGCACCGGCCAACUCCGUGCCAGCAGCCGCGGUAAUACGGAGGGUGCGAGCGUUAAUCGGAAUUACUGGGCGUAAAGCGUACGCAUGCGGUUGAUUAACCGAGAUGUGAAAGCCCCGGGCUCAACCUGAAAACUGCAUUUCGAACUGAUCAACUAAAGUGUGAUAAAGGGCGGUAGAAUUUCAGGUGUAUCGGUGAAAUGCGUAUAGAUCUGAAGGAAUACCGAUGGCGAAGGCAGCCACCUGAGUCAACACUGACGCUCAUGUACGAAAGCAUGAGGAGCAAACAGGAUUAGAUACCCUGGUAGUCCACGCCGUAAACGAUGUCUACUAUAAGCUGGGGUCCUCGGACAACUUUUUCAAAGCUAACGCAUUAAGUAGACCGCCUGGAGAGUACGGC